AGCAGCCGCGGUAAUUCCAGCUCCAAUAGCGUAUAUUAAAGUUGUUGCAGUUAAAAAGCUCGUAGUUGAAUUUCGGGGUUUAUCCGUUGGUCGGGCUCUUUGGUCUGUACUGGCGUGAUGGAUUCCUACCUUCUGAAUAACCAGCAUGUCAUUAAUUUGGUGCGUUGGGGAAGCAGGACUGUUACCUUGAAAAAAUUAGAGUGCUUAAAGCAGGCUAUUGCCUGAAUACAUUAGCAUGGAAUAAUGAAAUAGGACGCAUGGUUCUAUUUUGUUGGUUUCUAGGAUCACCGUAAUGAUUAAUAGGGAUAGUUGGGGGCAUUAGUAUUCAAUUGUCAGAGGUGAAAUUCUUGGAUUUAUUGAAGACUAACUUCUGCGAAAGCAUUUGCCAAGGAUGUUUUCAUUAAUCAAGAACGAAAGUUAGGGGAUCGAAGACGAUCAGAUACCGUCGUAGUCUUAACCAUAAACUAUGCCGACUAGGGAUCGGACGAUGUAAUUUUUAAUGACUCGUUCGGCGCCUUAC
This 520-nucleotide ribosomal RNA is filed under the name uncultured Acaulospora. Its description in RNAcentral is "SSU rRNA". It matches the Rfam family "Eukaryotic small subunit ribosomal RNA", at positions 569 to 1091 of the family's 1831-position model. Lineage: Eukaryota; Fungi; Glomeromycota; Glomeromycetes; Diversisporales; Acaulosporaceae. The record is from RNAcentral.